RNAcentral lists this ribosomal RNA (492 nucleotides) under uncultured bacterium. RNAcentral's name for it is "partial 16S ribosomal RNA". It matches the Rfam family "Bacterial small subunit ribosomal RNA", at positions 29 to 507 of the family's 1533-position model. The record is from RNAcentral.
AGUGAACGCUGGCGGUAGGCCUAACACAUGCAAGUCGAACGGCAGCACAGUAAGGGCUUGCUCUUACGGGUGGCGAGUGGCGGACGGGUGAGGAAUACAUCGGAAUCUACUUUUUCGUGGGGGAUAACGUAGGGAAACUUACGCUAAUACCGCAUACGACCUACGGGUGAAAGCAGGGGAUCUUCGGACCUUGCGCGAUUGAAUGAGCCGAUGUCGGAUUAGCUAGUUGGCGGGGUAAAGGCCCACCAAGGCGACGAUCCGUAGCUGGUCUGAGAGGAUGAUCAGCCACACUGGAACUGAGACACGGGCCAGACUCCUACGGGAGGCAGCAGUGGGGAAUAUUGGACAAAGGGCGCAAGCCUGAUCCAGCCAUACCGCGUGGGUGAAGAAGGCCUUCGGGUUGUAAAGCCCUUUUGUUGGGAAAGAAAAGCAGCAGGUUAAUACCCCGCUGUUCUGACGGUACCCAAAGAAUAAGCACCGGCUAACUUCGUG